GAUGAACGCUGGCGGCGUGCCUAAUACAUGCAAGUCGAGCGAACGGACGAGAAGCUUGCUUUUCUGAUGUUAGCGGCGGACGGGUGAGUAACACGUGGAUAACCUACCUAUAAGACUGGGAUAACUUCGGGAAACCGGAGCUAAUACCGGAUAAUAUUUUGAACCGCAUGGUUCAAAAGUGAAAGACGGUCUUGCUGUCACUUAUAGAUGGAUCCGCGCUGCAUUAGCUAGUUGGUAAGGUAACGGCUUACCAAGGCAACGAUGCAUAGCCGACCUGAGGGGGUGAUCGGCCACACUGGAACUGAGACACGGUCCAGACUCCUACGGGAGGCAGCAGUAGGGAAUCUUCCGCAAUGGGCGAAAGCCUGACGGAGCAACGCCGCGUGAGUGAUGAAGGUCUUCGGAUCGUAAAACUCUGUUAUUAGGGAAGAACAUAUGUGUAAGUAACUGUGCACGUCUUGACGGUACCUAAUCAGAAAGCCACGGCUAACUACGUG
RNAcentral lists this ribosomal RNA (497 nucleotides) under uncultured bacterium. RNAcentral's name for it is "partial 16S ribosomal RNA". It matches the Rfam family "Bacterial small subunit ribosomal RNA", at positions 28 to 507 of the family's 1533-position model. The record is from RNAcentral.